GCAUACCUAUAACAUUUAAAGGGACAGUGGGAACCCUAUCAGGAAAAUGACUGAAUAUCACAUACUCACAUUCCGACGUCAGGUGACAUGGUCCUACCUAUCACAGCUUCCCAAUAGGUAUUCAAUCUCAUUUCUCCUAUUCUUCAUUGCCCUGUCAUGGCUUCCUCUUGUUUGGUUGUCUCAGAGCACAUUAUUAUAGUGUUAUUCAUUUCUUUUGAUCUUGGUUUGUUUCAAAC
Pelobates cultripes (western spadefoot toad) is the source of this 236-nucleotide non-coding RNA. The record is from the annotation of a GenBank genome assembly. Lineage: Eukaryota; Metazoa; Chordata; Amphibia; Anura; Pelobatidae.